GGUGCCGCCCUGAGGAGGCGGGUCCGCCUCGCUUCGGCAGCUGCGCAGCGACUGCGCGGCCGGGGCCGCGCAGAGAGAAUUGGAGAAGAUGUGGGCAAAUUUCGGAGAACCGCUAGAGGCCAGUAGAAGCCUGGAAUGCCGAACCCAGGGACGGUGUAAUCGGAGAGAGCCGUUCGGGAUGUCGACUGCAACCCUUACCAGAAUUGGGAUUUAUGCUAAGGAUGCCUCUGAAAAAUGGGGACUUGAGCACUAGAAGAAAACAGUGUGUUCAGGUUAUCGAAUUCAAAGCUCAAUGAAGUUUCUGUUUUGUAAAUGCACCCGGCCUGGAGUAAAUUCUUAACUGAAAAAUAGCAGCAACUCAAAAGUGCAUAAAUUACAAACUUCAUGAAUAAAUUAAGGAAAUGGAUUUGCUUCA
RNAcentral lists this long non-coding RNA (415 nucleotides) under Cyanistes caeruleus (blue tit). Its description in RNAcentral is "lncRNA (ENSCCEG00000011912.1)". Lineage: Eukaryota; Metazoa; Chordata; Aves; Passeriformes; Paridae. The record is from RNAcentral.